GGCCUAACACAUGCAAGUCGAGCGAUUUAGUGGGUAGCUUGCUACCUACUGGAGAGCGGCGGACGGGUGAGUAAUGCGCAGGGAUCUGCCUUGAAGAGGGGGAUAACACGGGGAAACUCGUGCUAAUACCGCAUAUGACCUGAGGGUAAAAGGGUGCGCAAGCACUCGCUUUGAGAGGAACCUGCGUUGGAUUAGCUAGUUGGUGGGGUAAAGGCCUACCAAGGCGAAGAUCCAUAGCUGGUCUGAGAGGACGGACAGCCACACUGGGACUGAGACACGGCCCAGACUCCUACGGGAGGCAGCAGUGGGGAAUAUUGGACAAUGGGGGCAACCCUGAUCCAGCGCUGCCGCGUGUGUGAAGAAGGCCUUCGGGUUGUAAAGCUC
Molecule: ribosomal RNA, 384 nt
Filed under: uncultured organism
Description: bacterial SSU rRNA
Rfam family: Bacterial small subunit ribosomal RNA
Source: RNAcentral